RNAcentral lists this ribosomal RNA (253 nucleotides) under uncultured bacterium. Its description in RNAcentral is "partial 16S ribosomal RNA". It matches the Rfam family "Bacterial small subunit ribosomal RNA", at positions 524 to 776 of the family's 1533-position model. The record is from RNAcentral.
GACAGAGGCCUCGAGCGUUAGGCGGAAUCACUGGGCUUAAAGCGUGUGUAGGCGGGUCCGUAAGUGUCUUGUGAAAUCCCACGGCUCAACCGUGGAACUGCUGGGCAUACUGCGGGUCUUGGGCCAACUAGGGGCAGCCGGAACAAGCGGUGGAGCGGUGAAAUGCGCAGAUAUCAGGAGGAACACCGGUGGCGAAGGCGGGUCUCUGGGCCGAAACUGACGCUGAGGAGCGAAAGCGUGGGGAGCGAACAGG